AAAAUUUCCAUUUAUUGCUGCAAUCAAUUUGAGAUGCAAAUCCCCGCAGUAGUAUUAAGUAAAUAGAUCCUUGUUCGAGUUUCUGACUUAGUAUUUGCUGAUGUGACCGCCAGUGCCUUAAAUUUAAGACUGAUCAAGCACAAGAUGCAAAGAUGGAGAAGCUCAAUAAUAUAUUCUUUGCUUUGAUGGCUCGUGGUCCUGAAGGUACCAUUCUUUUUUCUACCCCAUCUCUCCACUCUUCUUUCUUUCCUACUUUUGUUGAGAUUUAGCGAAGACUUUUUCUAUGGACUUGAAAAUAGUGUUGUUGCCUUUGUUUCGCUGAUAUAUAGUUCCUUGUCUUGUGUAUUCUGUAAUGGAUAUAGCAGAAGUCACAGGGAAAGAACAAUUGGAGGCACAGCCGUCAAAGAAAGGAAGAGGAAGAAAGCAAUGAUUUGUAGCUAUAAUCUUCGGUUAGGUACUAAGGAAUGUAGUUGAUCAAGGUUUUCUGUUGUAGCUCUUCGCAUGUGUAAUUGAUUUUGGACUACAAUUGAGAUUUUUUUCCUUUGCUUUUCAGAUAUCUUUUAUGAUAUGAAAUUGUUAAUAUUAUUUGAAUCAAUGGCUGAGGGAUCGUAGUAAUUUCUGGCAUUCUGUAGCUACUUUUCUUGUCCUGGAAUACUGUACUUCAUUCAUGCUUAUCUACCAAGUUACUCUUCAUUUUGCUCUCUUUUCUGAGUUUUACGUCCAUGGCUUCCGUUUCUCUCUCCUAGUUGAGAUGCUACCUAAAAUCAGGUCAUGAAAAUGUAUAUCAGUCGAAGAUUCUUGCGAAUCUUAUUUGCUAAGUUUGAUUCGAGAACUAAAGUUGUUACAGAACUUUUAAAUCUCGUUCAACUCUUGAUUCGACGAGUGAUAGGUCAAUUGUGCAGUUAAACGCUAUUGUAAUUGAUCCUAGAACUCCUAACUGCUUGGAUUGGAGGAUUUGAUGAGUAUGCUCGGAUUUAUGAUAACUGCUCUGGCCUUUUCUGACCAAAGUGAGCUUGUUGUAUCCUACGAUGGAGAGCAUAUAUACCUUUUCACAAAAGAUAUGGGAUUGAGACCAAAUGUUGUUCCAUCAUCUUCUUUAUCAACUCACAGUGAUGCCGAUGAACCUGGACGUGAUGGCUCCAUAGUGGCAGCUAGAUUUGUUCCCCAAGUGUAAAUGGGUCACCGUAAUUAUGUUACAAUCAAGGGUGUAAGUUUCUUUGGGCCUAAGAGCAAAUAUGUAAUGAGCAGAUUUGAUUGUGGUCGAAUAUUUAUAUGGAGAAAGAAAGGUGGAGAGCUCAUCCAUUUAAUGGAAGCUGAUAGGGACGUGGUCAAUUGCAUCGAGUCUCAUCCUCAUACAGCAGUUCUCGCCAGUAGUGUAACUGACAAUGAUAUCAAGAUAUGGACUCCAAAGGCAGAAGAGAGAGCUACUUUACCUACAAACAUUGCUAAGUUUGGGGGGAUUUGGCUGAACUCUUUGGGGUAAAAUAAGCAUUAGAACUGCUUUCUUGCUUAAUUAAUGCUUGGGAUUUGAGCAAAUUGACAUUCGCCGCUUUUGACACGUUCUCCGCCUUCCUUUUAUAUUCUUCCACGCAUCAGCACAAGCGAAGCUCAACUGCUCUUGCUCCUGCUCCUUCUCACACGCAUGGAUCAACCAAGAAAAGAUCGACCGCUAUUGCUCCUCAUUCUUCUCUGCUCCUUCACCUGCUCCAUUCCAGCAGAAGCAAAGUUCUUCCUUCUCUUCUGAAAAACAAGAUCUCGAUUGUACAGAUUAUUGAAUAACAGUAUCUCAGUUGUACUGAUUUCUAGGAAAAAUGGACACAUUUUGUGUUCAUUUUGAUUUGAUUAGGGUGUAUCUGGCACAAGUUGGGUGUGUGUGCUAUCGGUAGGGUUAGGUAACAUUAAAUUUCAAAUCCAGGGAGACAAUUGGAAGUUCUUGCAUAAUAAAGGUAAUGUUUGUGUAAUUUUCUGCUCAUUUUUCUAUGUAAUUUUUAUGUUCUAAUGGUAUGGAAGGUUUUAUUUUUUGUCAAUAUGAAAUUACAAAGACUACUACUCUUCAAUUUAGUACUUUGCAUCAACAUAAUUUGGUCAAUUGAAAAAUCAUGGGGACAAGAACCAAAGGCUCAUGUUGCCUUUGUAGUCUAUAAUAUGUCUUAUAAGUUACAAUGAUUCUCCCUUAUUGGACGGAAUAUGUUAUAGAAGUAAAUGGGUGUGAAGCCCAUAACUUUUGAAACUCAAAAAUGAUUUAAUAGGGCAAGUUGUGAUUACAAAACCUUUUUCUUAUUCUCUAUAUUUUGUGGUUCAACUUUACUAUUUACUGAGUUUUUGUAGUAUGAAUUUGUAUUGGUGUUUGGUUUAAAAUUCGAUUUAUAGAUUCCAGUGCACUGCAGAAGCAUAAGACUUUAUAUAUUUUAUUUCUUUAUACGAACACAAGCUUAAGUCAGGUUGAAGUGAAAUAUGAAUAAGAAAGAACGAGAGUUAGGUAAAAAGUGUCCAC
Amaranthus tricolor (Joseph's coat) is the source of this 2494-nucleotide RNA transcript. RefSeq lists it as uncharacterized. The record is from RefSeq and is a predicted model, not a curated record. The transcript has 4 exons. NCBI's taxonomy places the organism in Eukaryota, Viridiplantae, Streptophyta, Magnoliopsida, Caryophyllales, Amaranthaceae.